CUGUAAUGCUGAUGAGGGGAUGUCUCUGCCUUCAUCACCGAGCCACCAAAGCGUGCCGUUGCUCGUGUAACUGCUUUGCCUGGACAAGGAAGGCUGGAGGUGAACGCUGACAGGGGUUCCUUGCAUGUAGUCCAUCUUUGUGCCUGCUGUGGGAGUCACAUAGCCCCCCCGAUUAAUACUGGGCUGUCUGGAUAACAAAACACUAUUUGGUGAGUUUAAGUUUUUAGGAAGGGCAGAUAUUGAAUGCCUUUGUGAAGAAUUUUUGUGAUAACCUCUCUGCCUUUCCAAAGAGGUCAUCGGUACUGCAGGUGUGGUGGGAACGUCCACCCGUUUUGUGGGGCUGUUUCUCGGAAGAGUUGAUGGUGGAGAGUAUAAAGAUGCCUCCCUGUUGGGAACUUUAGGUGGGAUCUCAGACAUAUUUCCCAUUGGAUCCAGCAUUAAAGUCUGGUGAGCCACUUGAAUAUCUCCCAUAAUUGCUUUGGGAUUACUAGUAGUUUCAUUUAAGUGUUUCAGAAAAUCAUUCAGGGUGUUCCUGGAAUCAACAGACCUCCUGUGGUCUCUUUUGCUGGAUGGUUUUGUAAGUGGGUGAUCAAUAUGUUGCAUCUUUUUGUCUGCCUUGUGCGCAUUAGAAUUUGAGAAAGAUGUAUUGUAAUCAUGAGUAGCAUUGGGAAGAACGAUAGCACUGGGUAUAUGUCCAUGGCUCAGAGGAGAGUGGGGCGGAGGACUGGAAGGAAAAAACUGAGGGCUCUUUAGCGGGGUUUCCUUUCGCGAAGCAUUGAGGUUACCGUGUGCUUUGUCCGACUGACUUUCAUGGCUUGCAGAGUCUUUUGCUGAAGAACCGGUGUGGAUUCAGGAGUCGGAAGUGCAGCUAAUUCCGGAGGCUGGCCUCUGUGGUCCAUCAUCAUGGACUUCAUAUCGCCAUUUGGUGGCAGUUCCUUUCUGCUAGUCAACAGGUUGGUGUAGAGUUUGGGCGAAUCGAUGUUUUGUUGAUAUUCCUUGACGGGACUAUCAAAAAGCCCAUUCAGUUUAGCAAAGCUCCCACUGGAGUCUGUACAGGACUGAGCAGAUUCUGCAUCCUUGUGUAUUUUCCUGGAUUUCCGUACAAACACAUCUCGAUAACAGUACACAGCCACUCCCGCAAUAAAGGCUCCCAGGACAAAAGCAGCAAAGACACAAGUGAUUAGGACAUUCAUGUGUACCAUUUGGUUGGACUCUCCUGAUUGCACUUCCCACCUUACACCUGCAAAAGACAUGCAGCGUAUCAUAAAUUUACACAUACUUAAAACUGAUCUAUAUUUCAGAAGCAGUUAGCCUGCCUUGGAGAAGGACAGCAGCGUCCUUAAGUUUUUAAGUGCUCUGUGCCCACUGUUACGGUAUCUCUGCAGUCCACAGCACUGUUGCGUGCUAAUAAUUUUAUAAAUAAAAAGGACCGAAUUAGCAUUGAGCAGCUCUAUUUAGACUGUCUACUUUCUUUGGACAAGCCCAGAUGCUUGUCAGAGCUUCACUCCUCAUACUACGUUCGGUUGUACGCUGUAUGCUAUCUGUUUAGCCUGUCCCCAGUUUUCCUUUAAGGCUUACAAACAGGGGGCCUGAAUGCUAUUAACGUUAAUUGAUUUCUGCUGGAAAAUUGAGGUUAGAAGGUGCUACUGGGCCAGACAGCAAUUAAUAACUCAUAGAUGGAUUUCUCUCUCAAUUUUCUGCCCAACUCGUAAAUCAGUAUCAAAAGAGAGACGGGAUUAUGCAAAUGUUACGUAGAACUGUAUAACUUACGUACUGCAUUGUUAAACCACAUCAAUAUAUGGUGCAAAACUUGUAAACUAAUCCAUCUGCAGCUCUCUAGCCUUGGAAUGGCACAGUUUGAUCAGGUAAGCAUACAAUUUUUAAGUUAAAGAUUACAGCAUUCUAUUAAAGCACAAGUUUUCCUUUCUAC
Molecule: long non-coding RNA, 1930 nt
Filed under: Gallus gallus (chicken)
Lineage: Eukaryota; Metazoa; Chordata; Aves; Galliformes; Phasianidae
Description: long non-coding RNA NONGGAT001599
Source: RNAcentral